Trichonephila inaurata madagascariensis is the source of this 72-nucleotide non-coding RNA. The record is from the annotation of a GenBank genome assembly. Lineage: Eukaryota; Metazoa; Arthropoda; Arachnida; Araneae; Nephilidae.
UCCCCAGUGGCACCAGUGGUUAGCGCGCGGUACUUAUAAUGCCGAGGUUGUGGUCGAAUCUCACCUGGGGAA